CUCAGAACGAACGCUGGCGGCAGGCCUAACACAUGCAAGUCGAGCGAACCCUUCGGGGUUAGCGGCGGACGGGUGAGUAACGCGUGGGAAUGUGCCCUUCUCUACGGAAUAGUCCUGGGAAACUGGGGGUAAUACCGUAUACGCCCUUUGGGGGAAAGAUUUAUCGGAGAAGGAUCAGCCCGCGUUGGAUUAGGUAGUUGGUGGGGUAAUGGCCUACCAAGCCUACGAUCCAUAGCUGGUUUGAGAGGAUGAUCAGCCACACUGGGACUGAGACACGGCCCAGACUCCUACGGGAGGCAGCAGUGGGGAAUCUUAGACAAUGGGGGCAACCCUGAUCUAGCCAUGCCGCGUGAGUGAUGAAGGCCUUAGGGUUGUAAAGCUCUUUCAGCUGGGAAGAUAAUGACGGUACCAGCAGAAGAAGCCCCGGCUAACUCCGUGCCAGCAGCCGCGGUAAUACGGAGGGGGCUAGCGUUGUUCGGAAUUACUGGGCGUAAAGCGCACGUAGGCGGACUGGAAAGUUGGGGGUGAAAUCCCGGGGCUCAACCCCGGAACUGCCUUCAAAACUAUCAGUCUUGAGUUCGAGAGAGGUGAGUGGAAUUCCGAGUGUAGAGGUGAAAUUCGUAGAUAUUCGGAGGAACACCAGUGGCGAAGGCGGCUC
RNAcentral lists this ribosomal RNA (658 nucleotides) under Paracoccus sp. (in: a-proteobacteria). RNAcentral describes it as "bacterial SSU rRNA". It matches the Rfam family "Bacterial small subunit ribosomal RNA", at positions 23 to 727 of the family's 1533-position model. Lineage: Bacteria; Pseudomonadati; Pseudomonadota; Alphaproteobacteria; Rhodobacterales; Paracoccaceae. The record is from RNAcentral.